CCUACGGGCGGCUGCAGUGGGGAAUAUUGGACAAUGGGCGAAAGCCUGAUCCAGCCAUGCCGCGUGUGUGAAGAAGGCCUUCGGGUUGUAAAGCACUUUCAGUGGGGAAGAAAGCCUUGGGGCUAAUACCCUCGAGGAAGGACAUCACCCACAGAAGAAGCACCGGCUAACUCCGAGCCAGCAGCCGCGGUAAUACGGAGGGUGCGAGCGUUAAUCGGAAUUACUGGGCGUAAAGCGCGCGUAGGCGGUCUGAUAAGCCGGUUGUGAAAGCCCCGGGCUCAACCUGGGAACGGCAUCCGGAACUGUCAGGCUAGAGUGCAGGAGAGGAAGGUAGAAUUCCCGGUGUAGCGGUGAAAUGCGUAGAGAUCGGGAGGAAUACCAGUGGCGAAGGCGGCCUUCUGGACUGACACUGACGCUGAGGUGCGAAAGCGUGGGUAGCAAACAGGAUUAGAUACCCUAGUAGUC
RNAcentral lists this ribosomal RNA (465 nucleotides) under Vreelandella stevensii. RNAcentral describes it as "partial 16S ribosomal RNA". It matches the Rfam family "Bacterial small subunit ribosomal RNA", at positions 338 to 795 of the family's 1533-position model. The record is from RNAcentral. Lineage: Bacteria; Pseudomonadati; Pseudomonadota; Gammaproteobacteria; Oceanospirillales; Halomonadaceae.